UGGAGGCAGCAGUGAGGAAUAUUGCGCAAUGGGGGAAACCCUGACGCAGCAACGCCGCGUGAAGGAUGAAGGAUUUUGGUCUGUAAACUUCUUUAAUCUGUGACGAAUAAAUGACGGUAGCAGAGGAAUAAGCCCCGGCUAACUACGUGCCAGCAGCCGCGGUAAUACGUAGGGGGCAAGCGUUGUCCGGAUUUACUGGGUGUAAAGGGUGUGUAGGCGGGUAUUUAAGUCAGAUGUGAAAGCCACGGGCUCAACUUGUGGACUGCAUUUGAAACUGGAUAUCUUGAGUGCAGGAGAGGAAAGUGGAAUUCCUAGUGUAGCGGUGAAAUGCGUAGAUAUUAGGAGGAACACCAGUGGCGAAGGCGACUUUCUGGACUGUAACUGACGCUGAGGCACGAAAGUGUGGGGAGCAAACAGGAUUAGAUACCCUGGUAGUCG
This 438-nucleotide ribosomal RNA is filed under the name uncultured bacterium. RNAcentral's name for it is "bacterial SSU rRNA". It matches the Rfam family "Bacterial small subunit ribosomal RNA", at positions 343 to 796 of the family's 1533-position model. The record is from RNAcentral.